Molecule: ribosomal RNA, 496 nt
Filed under: uncultured bacterium
Lineage: Bacteria
Description: bacterial SSU rRNA
Rfam family: Bacterial small subunit ribosomal RNA
Source: RNAcentral
UGACGCUGGCGGCGUGCCUAACACAUGCAAGUCGAGCGGCAGCGCGGGGCAACCUGGCGGCGAGCGGCGGACGGGUGAGUAACGCUUGGGAAUCUGCCUGUUAGUGGGGGACAACCCGGGGAAACUCGGGCUAAUACCGCAUACGCACUACGGUGGAAAGCCGGGGACCGCAAGGCCUGGCGCUAACAGAUGAGCCCAAGUCGGAUUAGCUAGUUGGUAGGGUAACGGCCUACCAAGGCGACGAUCCGUAACUGGUCUGAGAGGACGACCAGUCACACCGGAACUGAGACACGGUCCGGACUCCUACGGGAGGCAGCAGUGGGGAAUAUUGGACAAUGGGGGCAACCCUGAUCCAGCGACGCCGCGUGGGUGAAGAAGGCCUGCGGGUUGUAAAGCCCUUUCAGUGGGGAAGAAAAGCCUCGAAUUAACACCUCGGGGUCUUGACGUAACCCAUAGAAGAAGCACCGGCUAACUCUGUGCCAGCAGCCGCGGUAAU